CCUACGGGAGGCGGCAGUGGGGAAUAUUGGACAAUGGGCGAAAGCCUGAUCCAGCAAUGCCGCGUGAGUGAUGAAGGCCUUAGGGUUGUAAAGCUCUUUUACCAGGGAUGAUAAUGACAGUACCUGGAGAAUAAGCUCCGGCUAACUCCGUGCCAGCAGCCGCGGUAAUACGGAGGGAGCUAGCGUUGUUCGGAAUUACUGGGCGUAAAGCGUGCGUAGGCGGCUAUUCAAGUCAGAGGUGAAAGCCCGGGGCUCAACCCCGGAACUGCCUUUGAAACUAGAUAGCUAGAAUCUUGGAGAGGUCAGUGGAAUUCCGAGUGUAGAGGUGAAAUUCGUAGAUAUUCGGAAGAACACCAGUGGCGAAGGCGACUGACUGGACAAGUAUUGACGCUGAUGUACGAAAGCGUGGGGAGCAAACAGGAUUAGAUACCCUGGUAGUCCACGCCGUAAACGANANAUACUANUGUCGGCGACUGUGCGUGGUGGCGCGNGCUACGACAUUAAGUUAUCCGUCCGUGGGUAGGUACGGUCGCGAGAAGUUAAACGUAACGUAAAGGUAAAGUUAGUUACGGCGUGAGACGUGCCGACGGCGACGACGAGGGAGGAGG
RNAcentral lists this ribosomal RNA (608 nucleotides) under uncultured bacterium. RNAcentral describes it as "bacterial SSU rRNA". The stretch from base 1 to 514 matches the Rfam family "Bacterial small subunit ribosomal RNA", at positions 338 to 873 of the family's 1533-position model. The record is from RNAcentral.